This 497-nucleotide ribosomal RNA is filed under the name uncultured bacterium. RNAcentral's name for it is "partial 16S ribosomal RNA". It matches the Rfam family "Bacterial small subunit ribosomal RNA", at positions 28 to 507 of the family's 1533-position model. The record is from RNAcentral.
GAUGAACGCUGGCGGCGUGCCUAAUACAUGCAAGUCGAGCGAACAGAUUAGGAGCUUGCUCCUCUGACGUUAGCGGCGGACGGGUGAGUAACACGUGGAUAACCUACCUAUAAGACUGGGAUAACUUCGGGAAACCGGAGCUAAUACCGGAGAAUAUAUUGAACCACAUGGUUCAAUAGUGAAAGACGGUUUUGCUGUAACUUAUAGAUGUAUCCGCUCCGCAUUAGCUAGUUGGUAAGGUAACGGCUUACCAAGGCAACGAUGCGUAGCCGAACUGAGAGGGUGAUCGGCCACACUGGAACUGAGACACGGUCCAGACUCCUACGGGAGGCAGCAGUAGGGAAUCUUCCGCAAUGGGCGAAAGCCUGACGGAGCAACGCCGCGUGAGUGAUGAAGGUCUUCGGAUCGUAAAACUCUGUUAUUAGGGAAGAACAAAUGUGUAAGUAACUAUGCACGUCUUGACGGUACCUAAUCAGAAAGCCACGGCUAACUACGUG